UACAGAGGUCUCAAGCGUUGUUCGGAUUCAUUGGGCGUAAAGGGCGCGUAGGCUGCGAGGCAAGUCGGGUGUGAAAUCUCAGAGCUCAACUCUGAAACUGCACUCGAUACUGCUUUGCUUGAGGACUGGAGAGGAGAUUGGAAUUCACGGUGUAGCAGUGAAAUGCGUAGAUAUCGUGAGGAAGACCAGUGGCGAAGGCGGAUCUCUGGACAGUUCCUGAUGCUGAGGCGCGAAGGCCAGGGGAGCAAACGGG
RNAcentral lists this ribosomal RNA (253 nucleotides) under uncultured bacterium. RNAcentral describes it as "partial 16S ribosomal RNA". It matches the Rfam family "Bacterial small subunit ribosomal RNA", at positions 524 to 776 of the family's 1533-position model. The record is from RNAcentral.